This 253-nucleotide ribosomal RNA is filed under the name uncultured bacterium. RNAcentral's name for it is "partial 16S ribosomal RNA". It matches the Rfam family "Bacterial small subunit ribosomal RNA", at positions 524 to 776 of the family's 1533-position model. The record is from RNAcentral.
GACGUAGGGCGCGAGCGUUGUCCGGAUUUAUUGGGCGUAAAGAGCUCGUAGGCGGCUUGUCGCGUCGACCGUGAAAACUUGGGGCUCAACCCAAGCCUGCGGUCGAUACGGGCAGGCUCGAGUUCGGUAGGGGAGACGUGGAAUUCCUGGUGUAGCGGUGAAAUGCGCAGAUAUCAGGAGGAACACCGGUGGCGAAGGCGGGUCUCUGGGCCGAUACUGACGCUGAGGAGCGAAAGCGUGGGGAGCGAACAGG